Molecule: long non-coding RNA, 760 nt
Organism: Brassica oleracea var. oleracea
Lineage: Eukaryota; Viridiplantae; Streptophyta; Magnoliopsida; Brassicales; Brassicaceae
Exons: 2
Source: RefSeq, a predicted model, not a curated record
AAUUCACAGCCAAUUUUUCUCUCAAUUGUUUCAUAUCUAUUUCUUUUUCUCUCAAUACCAAACCCUAAUCCCUUUUACUUUUUCUCAAUAUUUUUCUUCUCAAUCCUUAGAUAAAAAAAGACGGAUGAGAAAUCAACGCCGAGAAGCUUGGCCUUAGUCGGCUCCAAUUCCGAAUCUCUCCUCUCUCUCUCACAACUACGGUGGCUCACUUCUUCGACUCUCCACUUUGAAAUCUCUCCUCUCUUGUAUAUCUCCUCUAAUUAAACAUCUACAUAUGCUCUUGUCUCUGUAUCUUCUCCUAGUGCUCAUGUAAUCUCUCUCGCUCCCUUAAAGCAUGAUUAUUCAUAAGUGUUAUUGAUUUUAUGGUCUCUCCAGUGAUUUUCCUUAUUCGUUGAUUCUCUUAUGAAUUUCCUGAUAGCGUCUCUUCAGUUCUCUAUGGCUAUCGAUCUCCUCAAACAAAAGACGAAGCUUGUUUGAAUCUCUGUCUUUGUAGAUAGUUUCUUGUGUUCUUAUGCGAGUGUUUCAUUUGGCAAGCAUUGAUUACAUUGAAGAUCUUGUGACCUACAAUGCUGCUGACCACAACGUUGAACAAGCGUUGAUUACAUUGAAGAAGGGCUUGCAGGUUUUGAUCUGGAUAUCGAGCAGUGGUGAAAAGCGACUUAAGUUAGCUUCUGUAUCUAAAAUUGUACCUAGACAAAGAACUGUAAGAAGAUAUUCUUCAUUUUCUUGUGAAAGUGUUCUUUUUGGAUCUUGUUCUGAA